UAGGGAAUCUUCCGCAAUGGGCGAAAGCCUGACGGAGCAACGCCGCGUGAGUGAUGAAGGGUUUCGGCUCGUAAAACUCUGUUAUUAGGGAAGAACAAAUGUGUAAGUAACUGUGCACAUCUUGACGGUACCUAAUCAGAAAGCCACGGCUAACUACGUGCCAGCAGCCGCGGUAAUACGUAGGUGGCAAGCGUUAUCCGGAAUUAUUGGGCGUAAAGCGCGCGUAGGCGGUUUCUUAAGUCUGAUGUGAAAGCCCACGGCUCAACCGUGGAGGGUCAGUGGAAACUGGGAAACUUGAGUGCAGAAGAGGAAAGUGGAAUUCCAUGUGUAGCGGUGAAAUGCGCAGAGAUAUGGAGGAACACCAGUGGCGAAGGCGACUUUCUGGUCUGUAACUGACGCUGAUGUGCGAAAGCGUGGGGAUCAAACAGG
This 429-nucleotide ribosomal RNA is filed under the name Bacillota bacterium. RNAcentral describes it as "Firmicutes bacterium partial 16S ribosomal RNA". It matches the Rfam family "Bacterial small subunit ribosomal RNA", at positions 355 to 776 of the family's 1533-position model. The record is from RNAcentral. Lineage: Bacteria; Bacillati; Bacillota.